CACCACCCGCCCAAUCUCUCAUCGGGCUGCCCCGAUGACACAGGCGGGAGAGAGAAUCCUUUCCUCCACCGACUGCAACACCGGGGAGUCGUGCUGGCGAGAGAGAGCGUCAGCCUUGCCGUUCUUGGAAUGAGGACGGCGAUCGUUUGGAGACAAGACAGAUGUAAUUUCAAGAGAAAAACGUACACCGAAGCCUGAUGGGCUGACCCAGGCCGCCGGAAACUACUGGCCAGCGAGAGAGGGCGUACUCAACUGUAGAGAAGGAGGAGCUGGCGUUGAAGUGGGCCCUGGAGAAACUCUGUUAUUAUCUCCUCGGACACCACUUUACCCUCAUCACCGACCAGGCCCCCCCGAAAUGGAUGGCGACGGCCAAGGACACCAACGCCAGGGUGACGCGCUGGAUCCUAGCCCUACAAGACUACUAAUAUAAAUGUCAUUUAUUAUUAUUAUUAUUAUUAUUAUUACCACUUCCAGGUGGUCCAUCGACCAGGACGGGCUCACGCCAAUGCAGACACCCUAUCCCAGAGGGACGCCUGCCUAGGUCUUACCAGAGGAACCCCUGGCUUGCUGCUGAGGGUGGGGGUAUGUGGCAACCCCGCGCCGGCGGACCUGGAGAAAACUCGCCAACGCUCUGAACAGCGCCCUCUCUACGGACAAGUAGUCCAAGGGAGAUACGUCCCCUUCAACACAGCUGUAACCGCCAGUGGUUACCGCCGAUAUAUUACUCAUAGACUACUGUUAGAUUUAAACAGCAAAGAUAGAGACAGUUAUUAGUCAACAACGACAUCAUUUAUUGCAGAAAUUUAAAAUUGCAAAAAUACAUGCACAGCCGAAAUGUACCGAUCAAACGCCACGUCACAAGGCAUAUAAUAAAAUCAAAUGAUUCCAUUGCUCUUGUGUGGGAGGUCGCUUUCGAGCUGCACUUGCUGUCUCCCUCUGAAUUUAAUUCAACCAUCGUGGUUAAAAUGUCCUAAUAUUGAUCAAUGACAGAAGACAUAGGCUACUGUAGACAUGAAUCAUGAGUCCAGCAGGUGUCGGAUAAUUUCUGCAGGUGUGUUUUGUUGCGAUUGUUUGCAUUAAGCACUGUAGGCGCUUCGGUGAGGCUGUGAUGAAGUUCACUAUUUAUUGGACCAUGUCUAGACAGUAACGAACAUCCCUGACCAUAGUUAAU
Gadus morhua (Atlantic cod) is the source of this 1171-nucleotide long non-coding RNA. RefSeq lists it as uncharacterized. The transcript is spliced from 3 exons. Lineage: Eukaryota; Metazoa; Chordata; Actinopteri; Gadiformes; Gadidae. The record is from RefSeq and is a predicted model, not a curated record.